ACAUAAAAUUUCGUUAAUGGUAAGAGCAAAUAGUAAAUGAUUUGUUAACGCCAAUGAUAUAAAUAGACCAAGCAAUAAAGAUAAAAUUGAGCAAUAAUGGCAAUUUAGAGUCCGACUACUUUUUCUUUGAAUACUAUACUAUAUAUUUGAAAAUAUUUUCAAAGAAAAAAUUUAUGAUAAAAGAUUUUCAUAACUAAUAGUACUCCCAAUUCCAAAUAUCGUAUUUGAAUAUAGUAUACACUACAAAUUAAAAUAUUUUGACCAUGGUACUCAAAUGUGAAUAUAGAACCUGGAAAGGUAAUCAAAGUUGGCAAACAAGUUCCAUUCCAAUAAUAAAAAGAGAGAAGAGAGGAACAAAGCCGUCAAAUGUCCACAAUGAUGGAAGAAACAGAAAGAGUUAUAGAACAAGAAGAAGAAGGGUUUGUAAAAGAAGAAAUAUGGAGCUGGGGAGCAGGAACAGAGGGACAAUUAGGAACAGGAAAACUCCAAGAUGAGCACCAACCUCAACUCAUUCAUUCUCUCUCUUCUUUUGGUCCCAUCUCUUAUCUUUCCUGUGGUGGUGCCCAUGUCAUUGCCCUCACUCCUGAUGACACCUAUUUGGAGUGAGCUCUUCAAUGGAAUUUCUUUUAAAAGUUGAUGGGGUUCAGAUGACACCAUUUUGAUGUGAGAACCAAUGGAGAAUUUUGAACUUUUACAAAAGCUUGUUGUGUAAAGAUACCAUCUUGGUUUGAGAUUCAAUGGAAAGAUUUUUACUUUUCAAAGGAAAAAAGGCACAGUUUGUUGGGGUUUUUGUUUAACAUAAAAUCUGGUUAUUAGAUUAAGUAAUUAAAUUUAUGGAAUUAGGCCACAAGCAACUUGAUUAAACCUAGAUAACUAAAACCCUUGCUGAUGAAAAACAGUGUAAUGGAAAUAAGGAUGUAGCUAAAAUAAUCAAAUUAAUGAAGAAUGAGAGAAAAAGAUUGUUAUUGAAUAAUCUUCAAUGGACGAAGGUGGAGGAACAGUGGAGAUGAUUAGGAAAGCUGUAGUAAUAAUUUCAGUAUAAUAUCGUGUAUAUCAGAGUUAGAAUGGGAUACGAUGUGGGGAAGAGGGGUAUUUAUAGGAUGAGCUUGUCAAAACCGUUCCCUAGAAUCACUCCUACACGUUGCAGGCAUUACUGAUAAUUAUGAUGAUUGACUUGUAACUGCUGAUGGUGUUUAAUGGGGGAUCGCAGAUAUCUCAAAAUUGCCGUUCAAAGGGUGAUAACUCUCCGGAUGCUGCUUCAGACCAUCUGGAGGAAUCGUUCCAUAUUUGAUCUUGUACGGGAAGAGUGAUCCCUUGAUCAGCUCAUCGGUGUUCAGUCUUCGUCUGGACUACUCCGGCUGACUUGAAGUUGACUAUGAUAACCUUAAUUUGCUUGCCACAUGUUGAAUCCUGUACCUGCCACGUGUUUGGUAUAUUUUUUACCGAUACAGUUUUGCAGGUGGAAGAGUGCUAACAUGGGGGAGGGGUACAUCUGGUCAGUUAGGUCAUGGAAAGAUGGUUAACUGCUUACACCCAAAGUAUGUGGAAUCUUUGGAAGGCGUCUUUAUUACACAUGCUUCUGCUGGAUGGAAUCACUCAGGAUUUGUGUCAGACACUGGUUACGUAUUCACUUGUGGAGAUGGUUCAUUUGGUCAGCUUGGGCAUGGGGAUUAUGUCUCAAGAUGUUCUCCUGUACAAGUGCUGCACUUCAAGAGUAAGCAUGUCGAGCAAAUUGCUUGUGGUAUGCGCCAUUCACUUGUCUUACUAAAAGGUAAAGUAGGCCUAAUACUUGCAUUUCUUUGUUCAUCUGGUUAUAUUAACAAAAUUGCUGCUUUCUGAGAAUGGUGUGUGCUGUAUAUCUGUUCUCAUUAGUAUAAUUUGUCAUAGUUUAGUUUGGUAAUUAGUGCUGUAAAUGCUUCUCUUAAACUUUCGCUAGCCCUAUACAGCUUUAGUUUCAAUGGGUUAUUGCCAUGAGCUUGAAAUGAAAUUGGAUAGCUGUGACUAGUCACAGCAUUCCAGGCCUGUUAACAUAAGAACUCCAGAGAUUAAAGAAUUCAGGUAGGGUAUGCCAAUAGUUUCUUUACUCUCGUAAUCACGACAAAUCUGUAAUUGAUUGUUACAGGUAAUAAUAGUGAAAAACGUUUCUUCUUUGUGGUGUGAAAUUAUUGAUUGUUACAAGGUAAUAUUCCUAAGAGAUGGUAUAUUUCUGGUUUCUAAUCACCUUGUUAGGAUAGAGAAAGCAGGUUGAUUAGAGUUUUUUCUUAAAAACUUUAACCAUCAUUUUGGAAGCAAGUAAUUUUACCAAAUGCACAUAGGUUCUAAAAUAAGUAAUUAGACAAUUUUAAUGAGC
Nicotiana attenuata is the source of this 2350-nucleotide RNA transcript. It is a transcript of the gene named ultraviolet-B receptor UVR8, with no coding region annotated. NCBI's taxonomy places the organism in Eukaryota, Viridiplantae, Streptophyta, Magnoliopsida, Solanales, Solanaceae. The transcript is spliced from 3 exons. The record is from RefSeq and is a predicted model, not a curated record.